Molecule: long non-coding RNA, 1180 nt
Organism: Mastomys coucha (southern multimammate mouse)
Lineage: Eukaryota; Metazoa; Chordata; Mammalia; Rodentia; Muridae
Exons: 4
Source: RefSeq, a predicted model, not a curated record
CUGAUGAGUUACACAAAAUAGAUGAUACUUGAAGGGCAAAAGAAAGUGCGAGUUCACUUUCGCCCGUGUAGGAAAGAAAACUACAAUUCCCAUGAUACCUUGGUUCGGGCGGCAGGGGCUGUCUCUUUUCUAGCUCUGAGUGACGCCCUCGUAGUAACACGUGUCUCCGAGCAAAUCGGCCACUUCUUCGGGUGGAGGUCCGAGUUAGUAGGGGAUUCAGGGUUAGUAGGCGACUUCGGAGAGGAACCUUGGUUGUAAAGUGCACUCCGAGACGCUUCCGCCUUUUUAACUGUUUGUGAACCGUGAAGCGCUGCACUCCUGCAACGUGGAGUCAAUGCCAUUCUUUCUAGUACUAAGAGACGGUAUUCACCGCCCCCAGCAUUGGUUCCCCUGGUCACACCUUUAAAAAAAGAAGUGUUUAAUUAUGAGGUUGGACCUGUAACCCAGUUGGUAAAGUGCUUGCUUACCGCAUAGUAGGCGCUGGGUUCAUUCCUCAAUUCCACCACGUAAGCAUCCUAGCACCGAGAAGGUGGUGGCAGGAAAAUAAGGAGUUCAAGUUCAUCCUUAGCAACAUGGAACAUUCAAAGACAGCUUGAGCUUCUUAAGACCUUGUCGCAGUCAAAAACAAACAAAAAAACACUGACACAACACCUACAGAAAGCAAAAUAGUCAUUAAAAAAAUUUAAAAGGCAAUUUUUAGAUAGCUUUGUCGGAAACUAAAGGCUUGUUCAAAAGUGAAAAGCCCAAGAAGUCAGCACCGGGACUGAAGAGAUGGCCCAGCAGGGCGAAGAUACAAAGUUAGAAAAUGGGACCCAGACGCUGCAAGACAACUUUUACAUGCAAUGAAGGUGUUGACGCUGUGUAAGCAAUGCUAUGGGGAAACAGAGGAGAACACAGCUGGCUGCCCAGGGAGUGAAAAAACUUCACAGAGGGGGACAACUGAAUGAACCCUGAACAAAUAAGUAGUCAGUCAGAAAAAGAAAAUCCACCAUUAUACCAACAAAAAGCAUUAACUGGCAACUCACAGAACACAAGGGCCAAAAGAUCAUGGAGCAUGUAUGGGAAGAGGUGUUCAGCAUCAAUGGCAAUCAGAAAAGUGAAAUUAAAUGCAGUGCAUGGAAAUACAAACUGAAAAUAUGUUUUUGCACAAGCUAUUUCAAAAUAUGUAUCUAAAUGAUAA